GAAUUUUGGACAAUGGGCGCAAGCCUGAUCCAGCCAUGCCGCGUGAGUGAAGAAGGCCUUCGGGUUGUAAAGCUCUUUCGGACGGAAAGAAAUCGCGCAGGCUAAUACCCUGUGCGGAUGACGGUACCGUCAUAAGAAGCACCGGCUAAAUACGUGCCAGCAGCCGCGGUAAUACGUAGGGUGCGAGCGUUUAUUGGAAUUACUGGGGGUAAAGCGUGCGCAGGCGGUUGAUUAAGACAGGCGUGAAAUCCCCGGGCUUAACCUGGGAAAUGCGCUUGUGACUGGUCAGCUAGAGUACGGCAGAGGGGGGUGGAAUUCCACGUGUAGCAGUGAAAUGCGUAGAGAUGUGGAGGAACACCGAUGGCGAAGGCAGCCCCCUGGGCCGAUACUGACGCUCAUGCACGAAAGCGUGGGUAGCAAACAGGAUUAGAUACCCUGGUAGUCCACGCCCUAAACGAUGUCAAAUAGUUGUUGGGAGGGUAAAACCUUCUAGUAACGUAGCUAACGCGUGAAGUUGACC
RNAcentral lists this ribosomal RNA (520 nucleotides) under uncultured beta proteobacterium. Its description in RNAcentral is "bacterial SSU rRNA". It matches the Rfam family "Bacterial small subunit ribosomal RNA", at positions 359 to 870 of the family's 1533-position model. The record is from RNAcentral. Lineage: Bacteria; Pseudomonadati; Pseudomonadota; Betaproteobacteria.